Molecule: ribosomal RNA, 762 nt
Filed under: uncultured Actinomyces sp.
Lineage: Bacteria; Bacillati; Actinomycetota; Actinomycetes; Actinomycetales; Actinomycetaceae
Description: bacterial SSU rRNA
Rfam family: Bacterial small subunit ribosomal RNA
Source: RNAcentral
GGACGAAACGCUGGCGGCGUGCUUAACACAUGCAAGUCGAACGGUGAAGGGAUCAGCUUGCUGGUUUCUGGAUGAGUGGCGAACGGGGUGAGUAACACGUGAGUAACCUGCCCCCUUCUUCUGGAUAACCGCAUGAAAGUGUGGCUAAUACGGGAUAUUCUGGGUCUGUCGCAUGGCGGGCCUGGGAAAGAUAUUGUUUCGGUGGGGGAUGGGCUCGCGGCCUAUCAGCUUGUUGGUGGGGUGAUGGCCUACCAAGGCGGUGACGGGUAGCCGGCCUGAGAGGGUGGACGGUCACACUGGGACUGAGACACGGCCCAGACUCCUACGGGAGGCAGCAGUGGGGAAUAUUGCACAAUGGGCGCAAGCCUGAUGCAGCGACGCCGCGUGAGGGAUGGAGGCCUUCGGGUUGUAAACCUCUUUCGCCAGUGAAGCAGGCCUGCUCCUUGUGGGUGGGUUGACGGUAGCUGGAUAAGAAGCGCCGGCUAACUACGUGCCAGCAGCCGCGGUAAUACGUAGGGCGCGAGCGUUGUCCGGAAUUAUUGGGCGUAAAGAGCUCGUAGGCGGCUGGUCGCGUCUGUCGUGAAAUCCUCUGGCUUAACUGGGGGCUUGCGGUGGGUACGGGCCGGCUUGAGUGCGGUAGGGGAGACUGGAACUCCUGGUGUAGCGGUGGAAUGCGCAGAUAUCAGGAAGAACACCGGUGGCGAAGGCGGGUCUCUGGGCCGUUACUGACGCUGAGGAGCGAAAGCGUGGGGAGCGAACAGG